Bombina bombina (fire-bellied toad) is the source of this 420-nucleotide long non-coding RNA. RefSeq lists it as uncharacterized. The record is from RefSeq and is a predicted model, not a curated record. The transcript has 3 exons. NCBI's taxonomy places the organism in Eukaryota, Metazoa, Chordata, Amphibia, Anura, Bombinatoridae.
CACUAAUUAUGACAUCUUUUUGCACACUCACAACCUUUUCUUUAUCUUCUACAUACUGCUGCUGAUUCAUGCUACUGGAGGUGUUCUAAAAUAUCAAAGUAAUUUAGAGAAGCACCCUCCUGGCUGUCUCAAUCCAAACAAAACCAUAAAGGAUUAUUCUGUACUCAGUGUGGUUGAUGGGGAAUCAUUUUCUAAGAGCAUGCCGGCUACGACUCCAGGGAACUUUUCUGAGAAUCAAGGAGAAUUAAUUGGGAAUAAUUCCGAAAAAUUAUGCACCGAAGAACCAGAGUUUCAGCCUCACUUCCCAGAGACUUGGCUUUGGGUUUCUGGUCCAUUGUGCUUAUAUUGUGCUGAGAGAUUAUACCGACUGUUAAGGAGCAGGAAACCAGUUACAAUUACCUCAGUGAUACAUCACCCAUG